AAUUGUCGAUUAAUCUCACUCGUAAUCGAGUAAUCGUCCAACCUGUCGAUCGAUACAGCGAUCAAAGAACGAAUAGUGCCCUAACCUAAAAAAGAGAACAACGAGAGUUACGAAGUGAAAUCGGAGAAUCACGUGGCUUGAAAGCAUUUAAUACGAUUCGAUCGAACAGAUUCACAGGAUGGGAUUCACAGUGUAGAGGUUUAUGAAUGGGACUCGCUUACGCUACCCGCGUCACUUUCAAGAUACUACGAGUUUCGCGAACAGCAUCUCUACUUCAAGAGAAUCCGUUACGCUCGAUCGACAUGCACGUUCUUCUGUUUAAAAAAUAUCACAAUGCGGAUGUUCAUGUGUCAAUUCAAAAGUCUCCUAUGCUAAAAACGAGAAUGAGGAUUCAAUUUCACGGUAAAAAAAAAAAAAAGAAAAAAACAGUCUCUUUCUCUUUUCAAAAGUGAGGUUAGAAUAUAAAGAUCCGCUUGUUAAGCCGCUAAAUAAUAAUUUUAUUGGAAACAAAUAAUUUUUGACUUCGACGAGUCUCCAACUAAUCAAAACUUGCUCAAUUAUAAAAAGCAACGCGCGCAAUUUCUCAAAAUGGAACAACCAGCAAAUUUCCCUCAAUUUUUGUCUCUACCCCCCCCCCCCCCCCCGUACUCCUGAAACCACUCUACACACGCUAACUGCCAACACUAAUAACCAACGAACGACAUACAACGCUUCAGAACCACGAUGCAUCAUCAAACUGUAGAAUCGGAUGAAAAAAAAAAAAAUUCCCCAUCCGCGUCAGUUGAAA
Long non-coding RNA from Frieseomelitta varia, 787 nucleotides. RefSeq lists it as uncharacterized. NCBI's taxonomy places the organism in Eukaryota, Metazoa, Arthropoda, Insecta, Hymenoptera, Apidae. The record is from RefSeq and is a predicted model, not a curated record. The transcript is spliced from 3 exons.